CCUACGGGUGGCAGCAGUGAGGAAUAUUGGUCAAUGGGCGCAGUCCUGAACCAGCCAAGCCGCGUGCGGGAAGACUGCCCUAUGGGUUGUAAACCUCUUUUAUCAGGGAAGAAUACUGACUACGUGUCGUCAGAUGCCCGUACCUUAUGAAUAAGCAUCGGCUAACUCCGUGCCAGCAGCCGCGGUAAUACGGAGGAUGCGAGCGUUAUCCGGAUUUAUUGGGUUUAAAGGGUGCGUAGGCGGUAUGUUAAGUUAGUGGUAAAACGUCGGGGCUUCACCUUGAUUGGCCAUUAAAACUGGAAGACUAGAGUACAGACGAGGUAGGCGGAAUAAGUGAAGUAGCGGUGAAAUGCAUAGAUAUAGCGUAGAACCCCGAUAGCGAAGGCAGCUUACCAGACUGUGACUGACGCUGAAGCACGAGAGCGUGGGUAGCGAACAGGAUUAGAUACCCUUGUAGUC
This 459-nucleotide ribosomal RNA is filed under the name uncultured bacterium. Its description in RNAcentral is "partial 16S ribosomal RNA". It matches the Rfam family "Bacterial small subunit ribosomal RNA", at positions 338 to 795 of the family's 1533-position model. The record is from RNAcentral.